GGGCACAUGGCUUAGCUGGUUAAAGCGCUGCGUUCACAUCGCAGAGAUCAAAGGUUCGAAUCCUUUUGUGCCCACCA
Molecule: transfer RNA, 77 nt
Filed under: Candidatus Omnitrophota bacterium
Lineage: Bacteria; Pseudomonadati; Candidatus Omnitrophota
Also listed under: 1 other name
Description: tRNA-Val
Rfam family: tRNA
About the family: Transfer RNA (tRNA) molecules are approximately 80 nucleotides in length. Their secondary structure includes four short double-helical elements and three loops (D, anti-codon, and T loops).
Source: RNAcentral